UGGAGGGGCAGCACUGACACCACUUCUGCUGCUCUGAGCACAAGGUGCCACUACGUGAUGCAGUGACCAUCCCCUUCCCCCCCCCUUGGAAAAAAAACACAAAAUUAACAUUUUUUGACUUUUUUCUUCUCCUUACUUUAAUGCUUAACCCCCAAUUUGACUUUUUUUCCCUAUUUAAUUAAUUAAAAAAACUUAAAUUGACUGUUUUCUCCCCCUUUUAUAGAAAGAAACGUUUUUUCUCCCCCUUAUUAAGAAAAAAAAAUGACUUUUUUCACCCUUAUUCCCUCAUGAAAAAAAAACAAAUUUACUUAUUUCUUCCACUUUUGUUUAUAAAAAGAAAUAAAAUUGACAUUUUUUUUCUCUGUUCCUUUAUUAAAUAAACAAAUGACUUUAUUCUCCCCUUUUCCUUUAUACAAAAAACAGAAUUGACAUUUUUUCCCUGAAAUUUUUACCCCUACAUUUACUUUUUUUCCCUAAAAUUGAGUUUUUCCCUAAAAAAUGACUUUCUUUCGACCUUUUUCCCCCAAAGUCGACCUUUUUCCCCCCCCAAACUUAAUAUUUUUUCUGCUGAAACUGAUAUCUCCCUCCUAAAAUUGACAUUUCCCUACUAAGAUAGACUUUUUCCCCCCAAAAUUGCUAUUUUUUCCCCCAAACUUCAGGUUUUUUCCCCCAAAACUCACUCUUUGCCCCCAAACUAACAUUUUUUCUCUCUUUUUUCCCCGUUUCAGAUCAUUUUCGCCCCGCAGUGCACGGAGGCCGAGGGCCGGCACUGGCACGUGCGCCACUUCUGCUGCUUCGAGUGCGAGGCGCCGCUGGGCGGGCGGCGCUACGUGAUGCGGCGCGGGCGGCCCUACUGCUGCCGCUGCUACCAGGCGCGGCACGCCGAGUACUGCGACGCCUGCGGGGACCCCAUAGGUACCGGGAUUUGGGGGGGGGGGAACCCCAAAAAAUCUGGGUGGAAAAGGAGGAAGGGAUCCCAAAAAUGUGGGUUUAAAAAGGAGGAAGGGACCCCAAAAAUCUGGGUAUAAAAGGAGAAAACCACAAAAGUGUGGGUGUAAAAGGAGGAAAAGACCCCAAAAAUUUGGGUCUAGAAGGAGGAGGGGACCCCAAAAAUUGGGGUUUGGUGGGAGGAAGAAAACCCCAAAAAACGGGUUUGAAAAGGAGGAAGGGACCCCAAAAAUCUGCCCCACGAGGACCACUAAUUGCCCCCCCUUAUUUUUUUUACCCCCCCCCAGUUGAGAAACAGGGGCAGAUGCCCCAGGAGGAGCAAGAUUUG
RNAcentral lists this long non-coding RNA (1276 nucleotides) under Anas platyrhynchos platyrhynchos (common mallard). RNAcentral describes it as "lncRNA (ENSAPLG00000025657.1)". The record is from RNAcentral. Lineage: Eukaryota; Metazoa; Chordata; Aves; Anseriformes; Anatidae.